Molecule: long non-coding RNA, 473 nt
Organism: Chionomys nivalis (European snow vole)
Lineage: Eukaryota; Metazoa; Chordata; Mammalia; Rodentia; Cricetidae
Exons: 2
Source: RefSeq, a predicted model, not a curated record
ACACGGAAGCUAGGUAUCUCAAAAGCUUAGGCCUCUGUAUUCAAGCUGUUGCAGUCCAGUCUGUCGCUAACACUGCCUGUGGCUGCAGAUCCUGCUGUGUGUGUCCUAUGGCAUAGGCCUGUAGAGGUUCUUCACCCAGCUCCACCUGCUGGGAGGGAGCCGUUGUCCUCUGUCGUCCCAAAGCACAUGUCCUCAACAAAGAAGCCAGUCCCGUCCUGAUGAACACAGGACAUUCUGGAGCUGAGCUGAAGGUGGCCCAAGAUUUCAGGAAAAGGGAUCAACCCGGCGUCUGGAGCACUAUUCUGAGUAAAUGCCUUCCUAAGAACUGCCUCCUUGGCUGUUCGACAGUGAACACAGGCCCUGCAUUUCCCAGGGACUCAAACAUUGUCUCAGUAGGUUUUAGAGGACUCAGUUAAAAAUUCUUCCCCCAAGCAAUUUCUAUCCUCUUUUCUUUUUUUUUUUUUUCUGAUAAA